AGUGAACGCUGGCGGCAGGCCUAACACAUGCAAGUCGAACGGCUGCAGGGAACUUCCUCCUGUAUUGAUCGGCGGUCGCGGGAGUAUGGCCUAGACAUCUGCAUGUGCGUGGGCGUUAAGGUCCGGAAACGGACGCUUAUGCUGCUUCCGCCUUCGGCGUGCGAGUGAGAGAGCUUGAUCGCUAGCGCUCUCGCGUGAGGCUAGGUCGGAUUAGCUAGUUGGUGGGGUAAAGGCCUACCAAGGCGACGACCCGUAGCUGGUCUGAGAGGAUGAUCAGUCACACUGGAACUGAGACACGGUCCAGACUCCUACGGGAGGCAGCAGUGGGGAAUAUUGGACAAUGGGCGAAAGCCUGAUCCAGCCAUGCCGCGUGUGUGAAGAAGGUCUUCGGAUUGUAAAGCACUUUAGGUGGGGAGGAAGGGCAGUAAGUUAAUACCUUGCUGUUUUGACGGUACCAACAGAAUAAGCACCGGCUAACUUCGUG
RNAcentral lists this ribosomal RNA (484 nucleotides) under uncultured bacterium. RNAcentral describes it as "partial 16S ribosomal RNA". It matches the Rfam family "Bacterial small subunit ribosomal RNA", at positions 29 to 507 of the family's 1533-position model. The record is from RNAcentral.